ACUCUUGUCGGCUCAGCGGCUCAGUGAAUACAUGUUGGGCUUGGGACCAAGUGGUUCCGGGUUCGAAUCCCAGCUAGGACA
Non-coding RNA from Rhamnusium bicolor, 81 nucleotides. The record is from the annotation of a GenBank genome assembly. NCBI's taxonomy places the organism in Eukaryota, Metazoa, Arthropoda, Insecta, Coleoptera, Cerambycidae.